CCAGCUCCAAUAGCGUAUAUUAAAGUUGUUGCAGUUAAAACGCUCGUAGUCUGAAUCAGUGGUUCGGCGGUGAUGGUCUGCUGGGAAAGCGUGCACUGCGCCGCCUGCCACUUCACUCGCGAAUGGAACCUAUUUGGUCUUAACUGGCUGAGUAGGCUUCCUCGUGACGUUUACCAUGAGCAAAUUAGAGUGCUCAAAGCAGGCCUUUUGGCUUGAAUAGUUUAGCAUGGGAUAAUAGAACACGACUCUGUCUUGUUCGUUGGUUAGCAGGGCAGCGUAAUGAUCAAUGGGAAUUGUCGGGGGCAUUCAUACCGCGCGGGGAGGGGUGAAAUCCUUGGAUCCACGCGAGAUGAACUACUGCGAAAGCAUUUGUCAAGUAUAUUUUCA
RNAcentral lists this ribosomal RNA (387 nucleotides) under uncultured Pterocystis. RNAcentral describes it as "SSU rRNA". It matches the Rfam family "Eukaryotic small subunit ribosomal RNA", at positions 585 to 972 of the family's 1831-position model. The record is from RNAcentral. Lineage: Eukaryota; Centroplasthelida; Acanthocystida; Acanthocystidae.